RNAcentral lists this transfer RNA (60 nucleotides) under Dendrothrips minowai. RNAcentral describes it as "tRNA-Thr". The record is from RNAcentral. Lineage: Eukaryota; Metazoa; Arthropoda; Insecta; Thysanoptera; Thripidae.
GUUUUUAUAGUUUAUUUAAAAUAGUGAUUUUGUAAAUCUCAGAAACUUUUGUUAAAAACA